UGUCAAGAUGAUGAUGAUGUUGCCUCUUACGUGCUUGCUGGUUUGGACGACGAAUACAAUGGCUUUGUGGCAGCCACGACGGCCUUGAUCAAGGCUCAUCAGACCGUGAGUCUUGGUGAUCUUUACUCGCAGUUUCUUGC
Lolium rigidum is the source of this 140-nucleotide small nucleolar RNA. RefSeq annotates it as small nucleolar RNA Z247. The transcript has a single exon. Lineage: Eukaryota; Viridiplantae; Streptophyta; Magnoliopsida; Poales; Poaceae. The record is from RefSeq and is a predicted model, not a curated record.